GACGGUAGAUAUUUUGUAAGUAAUAGUACUUACAUUUUACUGUUAGGAACAAUGAAGAAUCGUUGGUUGGUAAUACUACAAUAUAAAUACUGUAGUAUUUCACUGGACAAUAAUAAUAUUGACCUCGCAGUGUCAAUUGGUUAGGGGCUUUUCUAAUGGGCCGUCACACUGUCACCGUAAACAGAUUGUAUGUAUAGUAAAAAUAUACAAAAUAAGUAAAUAAAAUAUGGUUAUGUUUAAUAUUAUGUAAUAUAAUGAUUAUGGUUGUUAAGUUCACUUGUUUUUUGGAUUAUACAUCAUGUAGAAGUCCCAAUUUCUAUUGCUUAGACUGUAUAUUUUUACAUAUAUCAUUAUUUAAAAUGAUAGUGUAUGUUGACGGGGUUGCUGUAAACCAAACUAUACACUAAGUUUGGAAUUCCUUUGAAAAUCCAUAUCAGGAGCAGCAUAUAACGCCUCAUUCAUUUUAAUAGCACAGUAAAAUGUUAAAACGUUAUAUAUUGGUCCAACUUGCCCACGCGCUAAAAGUUUUGAAUAAACGCGUUGGAGCCUAAAAUAUGUGUUGAUCUCUCAAGGUAUCAAACCAGUCACCUCUCAGAUAUAGAGCUGCAGACUUUUUACACUUAGCUAUGUAUGCAGUGUGAUGUCUAUGUAUUGUGUAAAUAUUUUAUAUAUCAAUAUGUAAAUUACGCGUUACUUUUGUCUGAUAUAUGGUUAUUCAUUAUUGGUUUCAGAGUUGGUCAGUGAAGUCGCUCAUCAUUGUGACACCUGCGGAAGGAAGUAUUCCCAGAAGAAAAAUCUUCAACGACAUAAAAAGUUCGAGUGCGGCACGGAACCAUCGUUCCACUGUCCUCUCUGUCCAUACAAGGCCACAUACAAACAUAACCUCCAUCGCCAUGUAGUAAUGCGUCAUUCCUCUUUAAGUGUCAACGUAGAAAGAGAAUUUAGUGCCUGAAUAAAUCUUGGAUUAGCAGUGAGCUAGAGAAGAUGUCAUGCCUCAUAUAUAGAAUAGGCUGCAUCCAGCAUGGCAAACCCCUACUAAAGGACCAUCGCAGGUCAAAACAGAAUUACAGGUGAUGCAAAAUUGUCCUUAGCAUUAUUGAACUGAAUUAUGGCUACAGAAACAAUUAUCCAUCUCUGUUUGGGAGUGCCGAUGGCCGAGCGGUCUGUCGUUGGACUUUGGGUCUGAGUUAGAGAUAUCGCAGGUUUAAAUCCUAUCUGUAACCUUAGUACUUUUUAUCAGUACAAUGCAUCGACUCUCCCCCUUAUUUUGUUUGAUAAGAUCCUUGCACAGGCCAGUGGCCCAUGAGGACGGACAGGAUAAGGCUUAAAAAGGUGAUCGGUCACUCCUUAAAAAACAUGUGUAUUGUUGCUCUACAUAAUGUUUAAAGCCUCGUGGAGGACUGUCACCAGGGACAUUGUAAUUGACACGAAAUAUCGCUUGUAAGCGAAGUCGGCAACCCUUCCUCCGUGGGCUCUUUGAUCGACACUUGUCAGGCAUGGGACCUUGCCGUUAGGGUCAUGGGGGUAACAUAGUCUUCGCUGAUACCAAGUACACCUUCUCAUCUUUAUAACCUACUGGUGGAUUCUAGCGCAGUAUUCCUUUGGUGCGAAUCACUCCCACGACGUUAUUCCGAAUCAACUAGAAACAUUACUCUUAAUCAUACAGUGACCUAAGAAGUUUGUGAAAUCAUUUUUGUAAGUCAUACACCGUCCUGGGUAGUUUUUGGAACCAUUACUGUGAGUUAUCCACCUUCCUGGAUAGAUUGUGGAACCAUUACUGUGAGUCAUACACCGUCCUGGGUAGUUUUUGGAACCAUUACUGUGAGUCAUACACAUUCCUGGGUAGUUUUUGGAACCAUUACUGUGAGUCAUACACCUUCCUGGGUAGUUUUUUGGAACCAUUACUGUGAGUCAUACACCGUCCUGGCUAGUUUUUGGAACCAUUACUGUGAGUCAUACACCGUCCUGGCUAGUUUUUGGAACCAUUACUGUGAGUCAUACACCUUCCUAGGUAGUUUUUGGAACAAUGAUUGUGAGUCAUACACCUUCCUGGAUAAAUUGUGGAACCAUUACUGUGAGUCAUACACCUUCCUGGGAAGUUUUUGGAACCAUUACUGUGAGUCAUACACUUUCCUAGGUAGUUUUUGGAACAAUGAUUGUGAGUCAUACACCGUCCUGAAUAGUUUGUUUAUUCUAUAUACGAAGUAUAUAUUCUCUAGCACAAUACUAAUAUAAAACUGUAGAUUUGGUAAUAUUUUAGUUCGUUAUAUAAAUGUAUUGGUUCGAAAAUGCAUUGAACUUUACUAAAAUGUGCAACAUCCUUGCAUUUCAGAAAUCAAAUGAGCAGAUAGUUAGGGCAAAUUGCUCAUUCGUUUUCAAUCCUGUUACUUUUUUGUACAUAUUUUUUAUUGUAAAUAAACAGUUUUAAACUAGAAA
This 2436-nucleotide long non-coding RNA is filed under the name Homalodisca vitripennis (glassy-winged sharpshooter). Its description in RNAcentral is "uncharacterized LOC124353478". Lineage: Eukaryota; Metazoa; Arthropoda; Insecta; Hemiptera; Cicadellidae. The record is from RNAcentral.